This is a long non-coding RNA of Entelurus aequoreus (snake pipefish), 1335 nucleotides long. RefSeq lists it as uncharacterized. The record is from RefSeq and is a predicted model, not a curated record. The transcript has 3 exons. NCBI's taxonomy places the organism in Eukaryota, Metazoa, Chordata, Actinopteri, Syngnathiformes, Syngnathidae.
ACGGCUUAAAGCGCAGGGGAGAUUGUCUGUGAACGUUCACAUGCAUUUCCACAUCAACAAAUAUCAUAAAGACAUUUUCACCGACAGCGAUUGUACCUUCUCCUUUUUUUUUCUUUUUUUUUUUUUUACUAUUAAGGUGCCGUAAGAGUCCCACCAUUUGACCUCCGCCAAGGUGCUUUCUAACAGCAGGACGCAUGGUGGAAAAGGUUUGAGAACCACUGCCAAACAGCGCUCUGGUGACGGACAGGAAGCGGUCGUAACUGAUGAGGACGAUGUUGAAGACGGAGGCGGUGCAGAGCAGGUAGUCCAUGACCAGCCACACCUUGCAGAGACCCUUACCCAGCAUCCACCUGCCCGUCAGGUUGUAGGGGAUGUAGACCGGGAUGCAGAAGGCACCUGGGGAGAGAACACAUCAGGAUGAGGUAGGAAUGCAAUCAGGUUCCCUGCAGUGGCUUGAUUUAAAAAAAAAGGGGGUUUGGGAGGGGAGUCAUAGAUAUACAAUAUAUUUUUGGAAGAUUUCUUGCCCAGCAUACUUUGAUUGGGAGGUAAUUGCAAGUGUUCUAGGAACAAAAGACUUGAAGUAGGGAGGGGAGGCAUACCCAAAAAAAAAAAAAAAAAAUUCCUAAAAUGUGAGCAAGGAGAGACAAAGAAACUGCAACCCACCCACUAGGAAAUCAGAUAUGGCCAGGUUGAGAAAGAAGUAGUUGCUCUGAGUUCUCAGGGAUUUAUCCACAAUGAAAGCCAUGAUGACCAGCGCGUUCCCCGCCACCACCGUGACCACCAGCGUCACCAUCAGCACCGACACCAGCAGCGCCAGGUAGCCCGGGAGCACCGUGCCCGCCUCGGACACCGCCGGGGUCAAGUUGCCGCUGGAGUUGUACUCCGCCAACACGCCCAUUGUUAGCGGGGCGCCCCGAGCAUCGUGGACGCGCACCGCAAGGUUCCGGGGAUGCGCCCCGCAAGUUCAAUGACGCACCCGGGCGACGCGCUCCUCCUGACCCAGGUGCCAGGAUCGGACAAAGGACCCGCGCUGCGGACGCGUCAGCUCCAUCCGGCAGGACUUUCUUCAAGUUUGGGGAAUGAGAAGGAGGGGGGGAAAUAAGGGGGGGAGGACAACCUCGCCCACGCUGGAGCCCUCCUUCCGCGCGGCGUGCGCCUUCGUGGAGUGUGCGCAAAAAGGUGGGAGCGCACGCUUCUUUUGGCUUUUUUUUUUUUUUUUUUUUUGGUCAAUACCACACACGUUGUGGCGCGCGCACACUCCGCGUCCGGGUAGACUUUCACAAUAAAAGUCACAUACGGAGCAUUGAGGGGCCACAUCGCCUUCAGAGGGCCGAU